This 445-nucleotide ribosomal RNA is filed under the name uncultured bacterium. Its description in RNAcentral is "partial 16S ribosomal RNA". It matches the Rfam family "Bacterial small subunit ribosomal RNA", at positions 354 to 796 of the family's 1533-position model. The record is from RNAcentral.
GUGAGGAAUAUUGGUCAAUGGACGAGAGUCUGAACCAGCCAAGUCGCGUGAAGGAAGACGGUUCUAUGAAUUGUAAACUUCUUUUGUGCAGGAAUAAAGUGGGUUACGUGUAACCUUUUGUAUGUACUGUACGAAUAAGGAUCGGCUAACUCUGUGCCAGCAGCCGCGGUAAUACGGAGGAUCCGAGCGUUAUCCGGAUUUAUUGGGUUUAAAGGGUGCGUAGGUGGAUUGAUAAGUCAGCGGUGAAAGUUUGCAGCUUAACUGUAAAAUUGCCGUUGAAACUGUCGGUCUUGAGUGCAAAUGAGGUAGGCGGAAUGUGUUGUGUAGCGGUGAAAUGCUUAGAUAUAACACAGAACUCCGAUUGCGAAGGCAGCUUACUGGGAUGCAACUGACACUGAUGCACGAAAGCGUGGGUAUCAAACAGGAUUAGAUACCCUGGUAGUCC